CAAAUUUGAAAGCUAGCCUUCGGGUUCGCAUUGUAAUUUGUAGAGGAUGAUUUGGGGAAGCCGCCUGUCUAAGUUCCUUGGAACAGGACGUCAUAGAGGGUGAGAAUCCCGUAUGUGACAGGAAAUGGCACCCUAUGUAAAUCUCCUUCGACGAGUCGAGUUGUUUGGGAAUGCAGCUCUAAAUGGGAGGUAAAUUUCUUCUAAAGCUAAAUAUUGGCGAGAGACCGAUAGCGCACAAGUAGAGUGAUCGAAAGAUGAAAAGCACUUUGGAAAGAGAGUUAAAAAGCACGUGAAAUUGUUGAAAGGGAAGCGCUUGCAAUCAGACUUGUUUAAACUGUUCGGCCGGUCUUCUGACCGGUUUACUCAGUUUGGACAGGCCAGCAUCAGUUUCGGCGGCCGGAUAAAGGCUCUGGGAAUGUGGCCUCCACUUCGGUGGAGGUGUUAUAGCCCAGGGUGUAAUACGGCCAGCCGGGACUGAGGUCCGCGCUUCGGCUAGGAUGCUGGCGUAAUGGUUGUAAGCGACCCGUCUU
RNAcentral lists this ribosomal RNA (530 nucleotides) under Aureobasidium proteae. RNAcentral describes it as "eukaryotic LSU rRNA". It matches the Rfam family "Eukaryotic large subunit ribosomal RNA", at positions 110 to 655 of the family's 3401-position model. The record is from RNAcentral. Lineage: Eukaryota; Fungi; Ascomycota; Dothideomycetes; Dothideales; Saccotheciaceae.